GGAGAGCUGGCUGAGUGGUUGAUAGCUCCGGUCUUGAAAACCGGUAUAGUUCGAAAGAGCUAUCGAGGGUUCGAAUCCCUCUCUCUCCU
Molecule: transfer RNA, 89 nt
Filed under: Daphne aurantiaca
Lineage: Eukaryota; Viridiplantae; Streptophyta; Magnoliopsida; Malvales; Thymelaeaceae
Description: tRNA-Ser
Rfam family: tRNA
About the family: Transfer RNA (tRNA) molecules are approximately 80 nucleotides in length. Their secondary structure includes four short double-helical elements and three loops (D, anti-codon, and T loops).
Source: RNAcentral